GUGCACAUUUCAUUGACUUUUUUAUGUCAGGAUGUGCUACACAAAUCUUUAGAGGUAAAUUAGCAGCAUGAUUAAUUUGGUCAUUGCUGUCAGUCACCUUCAGACAAGA
Molecule: small nucleolar RNA, 109 nt
Filed under: Otolemur garnettii (small-eared galago)
Lineage: Eukaryota; Metazoa; Chordata; Mammalia; Primates; Galagidae
Source: RNAcentral